AGGUUCUGUUAAAGGGAGAGAGCUAGAUUCUCUCUCCAUAUAACAGAACCUACAGAAGGGAGGUUCUGUUAAAGGGAGAGAGCUAGAUCCUCUCUCUCUUUAACAUAACCUACAGAA
Small nucleolar RNA from Cryptotermes secundus, 117 nucleotides. RefSeq annotates it as small nucleolar RNA SNORA11. Lineage: Eukaryota; Metazoa; Arthropoda; Insecta; Blattodea; Kalotermitidae. The transcript has a single exon. The record is from RefSeq and is a predicted model, not a curated record.